GACCCAACAGAUAGACUUGCUUUAACGUCGCUGGGACUCAAAGGCAGCGUUGAGACGACGUCGUCUUCCGGUUCUUCCGUUUUGGAACUUGAAAGCGCGCAUAACCUGUCUUUUCUUUCCUUGACAAUUUCACAUCUUCCCCCGACAACUCGAGAAAAUUUCUCACCCUAACCCCAAAAUUUUGUAAAACCGUUUACAGCCCAUAAGUUUUUCUCAAGGAUUUAUUUGGCUAUAAAGGAGGCUCCUAAUACAGUUACUUUUGGCACUUGUUGCAGACUUGCAACAAAAGAUUUCAAGCUUCUUCAUAUGGAUGCGGAUGCUGCAAAAACAGCCCGGGAGUCUCUAGACCUAGCAUUUCAGAUGUCCAACAUUCUUGACACGGGGCUUGAUCGUCACACCCUCUCCAUCCUUAUUGCACUCUGUGAUUUGGGUCUCAAUGCUGAGUCGUUAGCUGCAGUUGUCAAGGAACUCCGAAAUGACCUGGAGCCACUUACACCACAGGAUGCUGCUCCGCAUGGACCAUGAACAGGACCAUUUUGCUGAGAAACUAAUAUGCUUCUUUGGAGGAAUGAUGCACACACAUCUCUGAGUCGCUUUUUGUUCCUCUUUCGGUUCUCCUGUACAACUGAUGGAUGUCUACAAAAUGUAUGUGUACUUUUGGAGGUUGGAGGACAUCACUCGGUCUCUUGUUCUUCCUUGUUCUGUUCUCAUGCAUAACUGAUGGAUGUUUACAAAAAUUUUAUGCUAUUUUCCUGCUGUGGUUUGUGUGUGAGGGUGAAAUUUGUAAGUGCAGUCUUAUGAGCAAAAAGAAUUUGAUGUCAAUUUCAA
Long non-coding RNA from Rosa chinensis, 828 nucleotides. RefSeq lists it as uncharacterized. The transcript is spliced from 3 exons. Lineage: Eukaryota; Viridiplantae; Streptophyta; Magnoliopsida; Rosales; Rosaceae. The record is from RefSeq and is a predicted model, not a curated record.